RNAcentral lists this ribosomal RNA (166 nucleotides) under uncultured bacterium. RNAcentral's name for it is "partial 16S rRNA". It matches the Rfam family "Bacterial small subunit ribosomal RNA", at positions 355 to 511 of the family's 1533-position model. The record is from RNAcentral.
UAGGGAAUCUUCGGCAAUGGACGAAAGUCUGACCGAGCAACGCCGCGUGAGUGAAGUAAGGUUUUCGGNUCGUAAAACUCUGUUGGUAGAGAAGAACGUUGGUGAGAGUGGAAAGCUCAUCAAGUGACGGUAACUACCCAGAAAGGGACGGCUAACUACGUGCCAA